This 359-nucleotide ribosomal RNA is filed under the name uncultured bacterium. RNAcentral's name for it is "bacterial SSU rRNA". It matches the Rfam family "Bacterial small subunit ribosomal RNA", at positions 8 to 393 of the family's 1533-position model. The record is from RNAcentral.
AGAGUUUGAUCAUGGCUCAGAACGUACGCUGGCGGCACGCCUAACACAUGCAAGUCGAACGAAGUAGCAAUACUUAGUGGCAGACGGGUGAGUAACAUGUGGGUAUCUACCCUUUGGCCUGGAAUAACACGAGGAAACUUGUGCUAAUACUGGAUAAGUCUUUACGGAGAAAGCUUUAUGCACCAUUGGAUGAGCCUGCACUUGAUUAGUUUGUUGGUAGGGUAAUGGCCUACCAAGACUGUGAUCAAUAGCUGAUUUGAGAGGAUGAUCAGCCACAUUGGGACUGAGACACGGCCCAAACUCCUACGGGAGGCAGCAGGUGGGGAAUCUUGCACAAUGGAGGAAACUCUGAUGCAGCG